Molecule: non-coding RNA, 98 nt
Organism: Armillaria fumosa
Lineage: Eukaryota; Fungi; Basidiomycota; Agaricomycetes; Agaricales; Physalacriaceae
Source: the annotation of a GenBank genome assembly
GGCAAAGUGGCCGAGUGGUUAAGGCGCUGGAAUUAGGUCGAUCGAUCGAUUGCGCAAUCCAGUCCUCCGGGGCGUGAGUUCGAACCUCACCUUUGUCA